Molecule: ribosomal RNA, 419 nt
Filed under: uncultured microorganism
Description: bacterial SSU rRNA
Rfam family: Bacterial small subunit ribosomal RNA
Source: RNAcentral
GAGUUUGAUCGUGGCUCAGAUUGAACGCUGGCGGCAUGCCUUACACAUGCAAGUCGAACGGCAGCAUGAUCUAGCUUGCUAGAUUGAUGGCGAGUGGCGAACGGGUGAGUAAUACAUCGGAACGUGCCCUGUAGUGGGGAUAACUAGUCGAAAGAUUAGCUAAUACCGCAUACGACCUGAGGGUGAAAGUGGGGGACCGCAAGGCCUCAUGCUAUAGGAGCGGCCGAUGUCUGAUUAGCUAGUUGGUGGGUAAAGGCCCACCAAGGCGACGAUCAGUAGCUGGUCUGAGAGGACGAUCAGCCACACUGGGACUGAGACACGGCCCAGACUCCUACGGGAGGCAGCAGUGGGGAAUUUGGACAAUGGGCGAAAGCCUGAUCCAGCAAUGCCGCGUGUGUGAAGAAGGCCUCGGUUGUAAG